CGAAAGCCUGACGGAGCAAUACCGCGUGAGGGAUGAAAGCCUGUGGGUUGUAAACCUCUUUUCUCAAGGAAGAAGUUCUGACGGUACUUGAGGAAUAAGCAUCGGCUAACUCUGUGCCAGCAGCCGCGGUAAUACAGAGGAUGCAAGCGUUAUCCGGAAUCACUGGGCAUAAAGCGUCUGUAGGUUGCUUGCCAAGUCUGCUGUUAAAGAUCAGGGCUUAACCCUGGGAAAGCAGUGGAGACUAGUAGGCUUGAGUGUGGUAGAGGUAGAGGGAAUUCCUGGUGUAGCGGUGAAAUGCGUAGAUAUUAGGAAGAACACCAAUGGCGAAAGCACUCUACUGGGCCACAACUGACACUGAGAGACGACAGCUAGGGGAGCAAAUG
Molecule: ribosomal RNA, 383 nt
Filed under: uncultured bacterium
Lineage: Bacteria
Description: bacterial SSU rRNA
Rfam family: Bacterial small subunit ribosomal RNA
Source: RNAcentral